GCCUACGGGGCGCAGCAGUGAGGAAUAUUGGUCAAUGGUCGGGAGACUGAACCAGCCAAGCCGCGUGAGGGAUGAAGGUACAGAGUAUCGUAAACCUCUUUUGUCAGGGAACAAAGGCGGGGACGUGUCCCCGGAUGAGUGUACCUGAAGAAAAAGCAUCGGCUAACUCCGUGCCAGCAGCCGCGGUAAUACGGAGGAUGCGAGCGUUAUCCGGAUUUAUUGGGUUUAAAGGGUGCGCAGGCGGUAUGUUAAGUCAGCGGUCAAAGCCCGGGGCUCAACCCCGGCCCGCCGUUGAAAAUGGCAGG
This 305-nucleotide ribosomal RNA is filed under the name uncultured bacterium. Its description in RNAcentral is "bacterial SSU rRNA". It matches the Rfam family "Bacterial small subunit ribosomal RNA", at positions 337 to 640 of the family's 1533-position model. The record is from RNAcentral.